UCCUCCUUACAGAGGCAGUUUGUUUCGAGUUCCCGGCAUGACCCGCUGGUAACAAAACAUGAGGGUUGCGCUCGUUGCGGGACUUAACCCAACAUUUCACAACACGAGCUGACGACAGCCAUGCACCACCUGUGCUACACCCUCGAAGGCGACUGCUUUUCGGCAGCUUGCAGUAGCAUGUCAAGCCCUGGUAAGGUGGGGAUGACGUUGAACGGUUGGUU
RNAcentral lists this unclassified non-coding RNA (221 nucleotides) under uncultured bacterium. Its description in RNAcentral is "contains 16S-23S intergenic spacer region". The record is from RNAcentral.